AGUGAACGCUGGCGGUAGGCCUAACACAUGCAAGUCGAACGGCAGCACAGUAAGAGCUUGCUCUUACGGGUGGCGAGUGGCGGACGGGUGAGGAAUAAAUCGGAAUCUACUUUUUCGUGGGGGAUAACGUAGGGAAACUAACGCUAAUACCGCAUACGACCUACGGGUGAAAGCAGGGGAUAUUCGGACCUUGCGCGAUUGAAUGAGCCGAUGUCGGAUUAGCUAGUUGGCGGGGUAAAGGCCCACCAAGGCGACGAUCCGUAGCUGGUCUGAGAGGAUGAUAAGCUACACUGGAACUGAGACACGGUCCAGAGGCCUACGGGAGGCAGGAGUGGGGAAUAUUGGACAAUUGGCGAAAGCCUGAUCCAGCCAUACAGCGUCGGUGAAGAAGGCCUUCGGGUUGUAAAGCCCUUUUGUUGGGAAAGAAAAGCAGCAGGUUAAUACCCCGCUGUUCUGACGGUACCCAAAGAAUAAGCACCGGCUAACUUCGUG
This 492-nucleotide ribosomal RNA is filed under the name uncultured bacterium. RNAcentral describes it as "partial 16S ribosomal RNA". It matches the Rfam family "Bacterial small subunit ribosomal RNA", at positions 29 to 507 of the family's 1533-position model. The record is from RNAcentral.